Molecule: long non-coding RNA, 1197 nt
Filed under: Helianthus annuus (common sunflower)
Lineage: Eukaryota; Viridiplantae; Streptophyta; Magnoliopsida; Asterales; Asteraceae
Description: hypothetical non coding rna
Source: RNAcentral
UUUACAAACCUCUUAAUCACUCCAAAAUCACUCUCUAAUCACUCCAAAAAUUCCCAGCUUUGAGCAGAAAGUUUAAGUCAUUCAAAGUGAGUUCUAGCUCACUUCUUCAACUCUUUUCUUCUUGUUUCUUCUUCUAAAACACUUGGAUAACCUCUAGGAAGGUUUUCACAAGUUUGCUUGGGUAAACUAAGGUGAAACCUCACCAUUUUUGAGGUCCAAAGUGCAUAUAAAAUUCUGCUCAUUUUUAUUUCUUUUUGUGUUCAUAUUUUGAUCGAAAACUUGGUGGAAUCUUGUUCCCACCAAGCUCAUAACUUAGUCUAUGGUUGUGAGUUUGUGUUUAGGGGAUUUCCAUCAAAGUUUUGGGUUCAAACACCCCUUUUAUUUCUGUUUAUACAUAACAAAUCAAUGAUGAAAACAAGCACAAGACAUCAUCUUUUAUAUGAUGAACUUGUGACUUGUGAAGUGUGAACAAAUGGAAGAUUUGGUUUUCCAAACUAAGUUCCACUCCUUCAUUUGAACAUUUUAUAACUUAUUAGAUUAGAUUUACUUUAUUAUUAGUUCAUGACCCUCCUUGUAUGUUUUUACAUCAAGUGUAGUGGUGAACCAUAAGAGGUACCUAAAUGAAAGCUUGUUCUUCCUACCUCCUACAUGACUUCCAUGAUACUAGAGGUUCCUAAAUGAAGAAUAAUCUUCUACCUCAUGCUUGAUUAAUGGACUAAAUAAUACCUAUAAUACUUAUACCUAUACAUACUAUUCGAACUCUUGAUGGUGGGCUUGUGUUCAUUUGUCAAGAUAUUAGAAUAACAUCAUCUAAGACAUAAGACUUGUUACGAUUCUAAUGAGUAUAUUACUCAUGAAAACAUUAACCCUUGAGGUUUCAUAGUGUCAAGAACAAGUACUUAGUGUUAAAAGAUGAUUACUUUUGAAUACUUAUAUUCUUGUGUUUUAACUUCCUAAAUCUCUAAACAAACACAUUCAACCUUUUAACCUCAUCAACUUCGUCACAUUGGAUAAUCGGAAAGCAUAUGCAAAUUUGUUGAGGAUUGAUGAUGCUAUGAAAACGGACUAGCAAAGAUGCAUAGAUACUCACUUAGACGUCUUAGGUCAAAUACGUUGUAUAAAUUUCAUAUUUGAUGUUGUAUUGUUUUCUUGUAUUUUUUAAUGUAUUGUAACAUUUAUUUAUGAAUGAAAUCAAUU